Long non-coding RNA from Nematostella vectensis (starlet sea anemone), 601 nucleotides. RefSeq lists it as uncharacterized. The record is from RefSeq and is a predicted model, not a curated record. The transcript has 2 exons. Lineage: Eukaryota; Metazoa; Cnidaria; Anthozoa; Actiniaria; Edwardsiidae.
UGCUCUUAGUACUUUACCUGAUGGUACUUUUGAUGGCAGAGACACACUACUACAGGUACAAGUUGAGUUUUUUCUGCUCCGAUGAAAGAUUGCUGUGUCAUUAUUCCACAUCUAUUUUGGCUUUUUAUCACGCCAUGCAAGAUGGAUUCAGUCAUACAACAUCGACAAAUGCAGGCCUUCCUACCCAAACGACAAUUUGCUGUCACGCAACGGAUAAAACGGAUAAUCAGAUGAGGACUGGAGGUCACCAACUUAUAUCAAGCAUAGCGUCGCAAUAUUUGAUACUUGGCAUAGACAUGCAUCGCUUGCCAGAGAGCCAUUUUCUUAUGAAUAUCUUGCAAAAGCACGACGAUGUUUCUACAUGAGUGGUAUUUGCUCAUCUUCAUUUCGAUACUUGGACGAUCCGCAGGUAAUUGACUGCAAUAUUGAGCAUGGUUAGAGAGACCUAGGCUCAGGAAACCGCAUAUGAUGUCGAAUGAUGAGUAGUUCAUUUCCUUAUAAAUUUCCGGCUAGUGCAUGGUUGAUUGAAAAGUGAUUUUCACUCUUUAUUCCUGACAAUUUUUAACACGCCUUAAGAGAAUGAUCAUAUUGUUGAUAAAAA